GAUGAACGCUGGCGGCGUGCCUAAUACAUGCAAGUCGAGCGAACAGACGAGGAGCUUGCUCCUCUGACGUUAGCGGCGGACGGGUGAGUAACACGUGGAUAACCUACCUAUAAGACUGGGAUAACUUCGGGAAACCGGAGCUAAUACCGGAUAAUAUAUUGAACCGCAUGGUUCAAUAGUGAAAGACGGUUUUGCUGUCACUUAUAGAUGGAUCCGCGCCGCAUUAGCUAGUUGGUAAGGUAACGGCUUACCAAGGCAACGAUGCGUAGCCGACCUGAGAGGGGGAUCGGCCACUGGGAAAGUGAAACGCGGCCAAGACCCAAAGGGGGGGGAAGGAGGGGGACUUUGCCGAAAGGGGCAAAAGUGUGAGGGAAAAGCGCCGCGUGGGAAAAGAGGUUUUUCGGAUUGAAAACCUCUUUUUUGAGGAAAAAAAAAAUGUGAAAGUAAAUAUCCCAGAUUGGAGGGAACUAAAUAAAAAGGCCCCGCUAAACUAGUG
RNAcentral lists this ribosomal RNA (496 nucleotides) under uncultured bacterium. Its description in RNAcentral is "partial 16S ribosomal RNA". It matches the Rfam family "Bacterial small subunit ribosomal RNA", at positions 28 to 507 of the family's 1533-position model. The record is from RNAcentral.